This 691-nucleotide long non-coding RNA is filed under the name Marmota monax (woodchuck). The record is from RNAcentral. Lineage: Eukaryota; Metazoa; Chordata; Mammalia; Rodentia; Sciuridae.
UAGGGAAAGAAAAAAAAUCCUCUCACUCAAACACUUUGCCUGUUUCAGUAGGGCAAGGGUGAUGGGGAGUUCAGGGGGCCGUGGGGGCUGCAUAGUUGCCCCCCAGGGAACAUGACUUGCGUGAAGGGUCACAGGUACCUCAGUGAGGGAGGAACCAGGCAACUUAACUUUGAUUGCAAAGUUUCUCAACAGGUACAUGUGAAAGUAUUGUUCUCCGGAUCCUGAAGCACAGUGGAUUUGCUUUUUUUUUUUAAUGGUUGCUCAAAACAUUACAAUGAUUUGCUUUUUACUUCUGCCUUUUGCUCUAUUCUCUUUUGGUGCUGGCUUUUAAAAUUUCCUUCUUGAUUUGUUGAUUGCUUCCUCUUGGUGGAAGACCUCAAAGUUUGGCGCACAGAUCCUGGCUCCAUCUUCGACAUCGAUCCCCUGGAAGACAAUAUUCAGUCUAGAAGUCUCCAUAUGCUCUCUGGUAUUGCUCACAUUCUGAGUUCCUCUCCUUUUAUGUGGUUUUGUCCUGAAAGUGAGUCUACUAUGCCUGUAGAAUUUCCUUGUAGCAACCGGGUAAUGUAAAGUUUAAAGUUGAGAAUUCUUAAACCUCCAUAAGCUCUCUGCUACUUUAAAAUACCAUUAAUUAUUUAUGAAAGUAAAACUUGCAAAGGAGCUUUUUAAUAAAUUCUAGAUUUGUUUGUCCUCG